CUGAAACCAUUCAACCAGAGUCAGUGAAGGCCAUCUGUAACCUGCAACAUGCUCAACCUCAUCACCAGAGCUUAUCGAUUAUUUCAGAUGCAUCUGUGGAUCCUUCAUUACAAUCUCAGAAGUUAGUUGAUGUUAAAGCCGAACAACGCAGAGACAGAUUCAUCAAAGACUGGAUAUAUUGGAUAAACGAACAUCGCAAACCAGAUAAACAACAGCUGAGCUAUUCACCACUCAACAACUGGUUCCUUAACAACUAUGAGAAGCUGAAGAUUAUAGACGGAGUGCUGUACAGAGAGAUAGAAUCUGAUGGUGAAACUUCAAGACAACUAGUUCUCCCAGAAAACUGCAUAUCCACAGUUCUCACAUCUUUACAUGAUGAUAUGGGCCACCAGGGAAGAGACAAGACCUUAUCAUUGGUACGUGAUCGCUUCAUCUGGUAUGGUAUGAACAGAGACAUCGAGAACUGGAUUACCAACUGCGAAAGAUGUAUUCGUCGAAAACAGCUUCCGAAUGAUAGAGCUCCACUUAUCAGCAUAGAAACAACACAACCUUUAGAACUGGUUUGCAUGGAUUACUUGAAAACUUGAAAGAUCAAAAGGAGGAUAUGAAAACAUUUUGGUAAUCACAGACCACUUCACCAGAUAUGCUUUAGCAGUUCCUACAAAGAACCAGACCGCACGAACUACAGCAGAUGCGUUUUUCAACAACUUCAUUGUACACUAUGGAUUGCCUAGUCGUAUUCAUUCGGAUCAAGGAGCGAACUUUGAGAGCAAGAUCAUCAAAGAACUCUGCAACAUUACAGGAAUGGAAAAGUCCCGAACAACACCUUACCAUCCUAUGGGUAACGGACUUACAGAGAGAUUCAACCGUACAUUAUUGAACAUGCUUGGAACUCUACAGACUACGCAGAAG
Molecule: long non-coding RNA, 912 nt
Filed under: Mytilus galloprovincialis (Mediterranean mussel)
Lineage: Eukaryota; Metazoa; Mollusca; Bivalvia; Mytilida; Mytilidae
Source: RNAcentral